UGCACUUGAAGACCUGCUGGUUACAUCGUCUAGAACAUGGAACCAAACAAUCCCAUGAAGAAAAUAAGACAAAACAUCAUGUAGCAGACAGAGAUUGACAUCUAGACAAUUCAAAUGCCACCAGUAAAUCUGAGGUGGCUACUUCAUCAUGCGCAAUCCUCGACCAGAUUGCCUGGCCACGAAGUGACAAUCAUCCGCACAGAGGGAGCAUCCAGAAUCUUACAACAGGCUUCUUGAGGACAUACACUGA
Long non-coding RNA from Monopterus albus (swamp eel), 250 nucleotides. RefSeq lists it as uncharacterized. The transcript is spliced from 3 exons. The record is from RefSeq and is a predicted model, not a curated record. Lineage: Eukaryota; Metazoa; Chordata; Actinopteri; Synbranchiformes; Synbranchidae.